RNAcentral lists this ribosomal RNA (591 nucleotides) under Saccharomyces cerevisiae (brewer's yeast). RNAcentral's name for it is "eukaryotic LSU rRNA". It matches the Rfam family "Eukaryotic large subunit ribosomal RNA", at positions 69 to 664 of the family's 3401-position model. Lineage: Eukaryota; Fungi; Ascomycota; Saccharomycetes; Saccharomycetales; Saccharomycetaceae. The record is from RNAcentral.
CACGGUAUGCCUUAGUACGGCGAGUGAAGCGGCAAAAGCUCAAAUUUGAAAUCUGGUACCUUCGGUGCCCGAGUUGUAAUUUGGAGAGGGCAACUUUGGGGCCGUUCCUUGUCUAUGUUCCUUGGAACAGGACGUCAUAGAGGGUGAGAAUCCCGUGUGGCGAGGAGUGCGGUUCUUUGUAAAGUGCCUUCGAAGAGUCGAGUUGUUUGGGAAUGCAGCUCUAAGUGGGUGGUAAAUUCCAUCUAAAGCUAAAUAUUGGCGAGAGACCGAUAGCGAACAAGUACAGUGAUGGAAAGAUGAAAAGAACUUUGAAAAGAGAGUGAAAAAGUACGUGAAAUUGUUGAAAGGGAAGGGCAUUUGAUCAGACAUGGUGUUUUGUGCCCUCUGCUCCUUGUGGGUAGGGGAAUCUCGCAUUUCACUGGGCCAGCAUCAUUUUUGGUGGCAGGAUAAAUCCAUAGGAAUGUAGCUUGCCUCGGUAAGUAUUAUAGCCUGUGGGAAUACUGCCAGCUGGGACUGAGGACUGCGACGUAAGUCAAGGAUGCUGGCAUAAUGGUUAUAUGCCGCCCGUCUUGACACCAGGAACCCCCCCCC